Long non-coding RNA from Onychostoma macrolepis, 1227 nucleotides. RefSeq lists it as uncharacterized. The record is from RefSeq and is a predicted model, not a curated record. Lineage: Eukaryota; Metazoa; Chordata; Actinopteri; Cypriniformes; Cyprinidae. The transcript has 5 exons.
GAAAACAGUGCUUGAGCAGACGCCAUUAUUCACAGAGACAGUCUCGGUAAAAAUGUCAUUUUAAAGUCGGAUUUCGGGUUUGAGGAACCGUUCUUACACUUCCGUGGUAAAUUAUAUUUUGUUAAAUGUAACAAACUGUAACGUUAAUUUAGUUGCUGCCUUGUUUGCCAAAUGAAUGUCGGAGCCGUCGCAUUUGACAUUUUCAGUCACAUCUCACUCGACGUGGAGAAGCUGGCAGAGGAAUUGUCAAGAAAAGAAGAUACCAUUACGACUUUUUUUAUUCUUUAAAAGAGAUUAAACGACUAGGUGAAGAUCUGACAUCGCGGAAUUCUUCAAGGAUAACGCAACUUUUCUGCCAAACGAGGUCGUAAUUGCUGCUGUAUUGUGCAUCCCAAGCACCCCCUGCAUUCUUAUCAAGGAUUGCUGUCAUUCAAGAACUUAUCAUUUCCUCCCCCAUUGUGGCUGAGCUACACAUUCUCUUCAUUUUAUUUUAAACAUAAAACAUCCAGAGGAGAUGGCACCUACGUUGGAAUUCAUACAAAUUCUUCCUGUGAAGAAAUCCUGAACAAGGGUCGACAGUUCAGAUGAAGGGAACCUACGCUUCCAAGACUCAUGUAUGAACAACUUCAAGAAUCCAUGUACAAUUUGAGCUUUUUUUCAAAUCUCAACAUGGAACUUGGACUGAACAUGCAGCAAAAGGAAAAAAGUAGUAGUUUCCCCAAGCUGGCACAUGGCAAGAGAUACUAAAAGCACACAAACACUUGGAGCCCUGCUCUUAAUUUAGAUUGUAUAGUUCUCUUAGUUUCACAUUGAAAUGUUAGGCAUGAGUGCAUGAAUCUUUGUUCUUUAUUUUCUAAUGAUGUACAAGAGUUUUUUUUUUUUUUGUUUUUGCAGUACCAUGUCAGUUGUAGAUGACAGAAUUCAAAUUUUUUGAUGUGAACUGUCCUUUUAAAUAACAUUUCACUUGACUAUUGACUAGAAGUAUGUAGCAAUUGUUAUUAAUGACAGCCCUGUCUUUGUAUAAAUGUUUUCCCAUGUAUCUGAAAAUGUUUCACAGUGAAGUUUAUCUUUGUGACCACUAUUUGGUGCAACACCAAUAUUGUACAAGUAGCUGCUCAUGUUUUCUUUUUUCUGCCUGGUGCUGUUUAAAACUAAAACACAUUGUUAAAUUAAUUGAUGUAGUAAUAUUUUUGUCUUCACCUGUUAAAGGCAAAUAAAAGCUACUGA